Molecule: ribosomal RNA, 402 nt
Filed under: bacterium
Lineage: Bacteria
Description: partial 16S ribosomal RNA
Rfam family: Bacterial small subunit ribosomal RNA
Source: RNAcentral
UGGGGAAUUUUGCACAAUGGGGGAAACCCUGAUGCAGCGACGCCGCGUGAUUUAGAAGGCCUUCGGGUUGUAAAAAUCUUUUCUAUGGGAAUAAAAUGACAGUACCAUAGGAAUAAGGACCGGCUAAUUACGUGCCAGCAGCCGCGGUAAUACGUAAGUUCCGAGCGUUGUCCGGAAUCAUUGGGCGUAAAGGGUACGUAGGCGGGUAAGCAAGUUAGAAGUGAAAUCCUAUAGCUCAACUAUAGUAAGCUUUUAAAACUGCUCAUCUGGAGGGAUGGAAGGGAAAGUGGAAGUACUAGUGUAGCGGGGAAAUGCGCAGAUAUUAAGAGGAAGACAGGUGGCGAAGGCGACUUGCUGGCCAUAACCUGACGCUGAGGUACGAAAGCGUGGGUAGCAAACAGG